Molecule: non-coding RNA, 2352 nt
Organism: Microcebus murinus (gray mouse lemur)
Lineage: Eukaryota; Metazoa; Chordata; Mammalia; Primates; Cheirogaleidae
Source: RefSeq, a predicted model, not a curated record
UUCAAUUUAAUGUUUCUUUGCUACAGUCUGACAUCAAUAUAUUUUGCUUUCUUAUUAGAGACUCUUAUUACCAUUAAAGAAAAAAAAUGCUUGGCGAAGAUGAAAAUAAACAGAGGCUAAGCAAUGUUUGCAGACUUUCAGAGUUAUAAAGGACAGGACAAAGUAAUAUAACUGGAUUAGCAAGAUAAGAAUGUUAGAUAUUUGCCCUGUCGUUGGCAAUUGUGCCUAAGGGAAGCCGGCUGUUCUUAUCACAGCGGAACCAGAACUGUGGUGUGUGAGCCCAUUCUGGGGCUGGGGGACAGCAGCAGGCCCCCACCCUGGUCAGGGGCAGAGGGCACAAGACAAGGCGGGUGGCCUAUGAGACUUUGAUGGUGUCAAUCAAGGGAUCUCCUGUUGAGUCAGCCAUUCCACCUACAAACCUUCAGUCAAGACCUUUGAAACAAAAUAAACGAUAUUCAAGGAGAAAUCUGACUGCAAACUGUAUACAAGAUUGCCAUUGUAAACAGACCAAAUUCCAAACGUGCCACAAUGCUGCUGGGAGUAGAGCUUUGCAAAGGGUGGAUGCCCAUUCUGUAUUUCAAUACACACAGGACAGAACGCAAGGUAAGUGGAGGAUUCAUUCUAAAAUAGAAGGGAAGUUGAUCUUCUGCACCCACACUGCUAGCGCCUCUGCUGCCGUUUUUAACAGGUGCUCCUUGUGGAUCUUGAGGAGUCUCCAUUCCCUCUUUGCUGACAGAUCAGAAGCACCUUCUUCUGUUGUAGGCGUUGAAGGACGGUUUAUUCCAUUCUGCUAUCAAGAAGGGCAUGUUGCUGUAGCGACACUUCAUCACAGCUCGCUGGUGUUCUUCAGAACUCUUGCUCCCGAGCCGCAGCCUCCGUGGUUGGCAUCAGGAACGAGCCCGCGAGACAGCCACCUUGCUGCCCGAGGGGAAAACGGGACGUGGCAAAACCAACAGCACCGUGUCCCCCUGGAGGCCAGGGCUCUUCGGGCACUCUGCAGCCAGGCAGUGAGCGGUCAAAGGGGUGCUCUCCCAAACCGCCCUCUCGCAGGCUUCUUCAGGGAAUGUCGCUUGUUCCUCCACGUGUUCAUGGUUAGCCAGUCCCGAGAGCAGCCGCAGUCUGUCACCAACUUAGCCAUUUGCCUUUCUUCCCUCUGCAGACCAGGCCCGGUGCUCGAACAGCCGGAGGUUCCUCAUCUGACCCCUGGGAGCGUCCUCCUGUCAGGCCGGCCGGCACGGGGACCGGGACCGCAGCGGGCCACGGAGAAGCUGCAGCAGGCUGCGGUUGAGAGCCGCGCCCAUGCGCGUUUCUCCUAGUCUGGCGGUUACGAGGCGUUUAGUUUGCUUACAUUUAAUAAGGUCGCUGGACUGGGUGAGGGCUCCUCUCAGCCCUUCUAAUCCCACGCUUUUCACUUCUGCCCUGGCCUGAGGAUCGGGUUCCGUCAGGUAUUGUGGCUAGCAUCUCAAGACUUUUGACAACACUUUCCUUUGCCUGUGAAAGGAGUUGAUCUCCUAACCAACCCUGUGUCUGAAGAUGCGAAGUGAAGAUCUUGAUGGGCACCAGGGUAGAGAUUUGGACAAUUUAUGCAGCCUUUGUUGAAAACCAGAAUUAGGAGGCAUGGAUAAUCAUGUAAUGAGACCCACUUGAAAAAGAAAUCAACCAGAAUUUUUGUAUCUAGUUUGGAACAUCAUCCCCUAUCCUCAAUAGAAGACAAAGAGCCAGAAGUCAUUUGGGACCAAGCUUCGCCAACAUUUAGAAUUAUUGGACUUCUAAAUUUUUAAUAUGAGCGGUGUGAAAUAAAAUCUCUGUGUUUUAAGUGAUUCCUGAGAGACAGAAUCAUCAUUUUUGGUUAUCAAACAAAGCCCAGAAUGUGAAUAGUGUGGAACAUUUUAUGCUGACAGCUCUGUGCAACAAACUUCCUCCUGGCACUUACCCUGCAGCUUAGCUUUCCAGCCAGAGGUUCCUCUUAUCCAGCAAAAAAUGGCUAACCCGAAGAUGAGAAUGAUGUGUAUUUGCCUCCUGCUCGUGGGGGGCCUUUGUUUGUACGUCAGCAUGUCCGGCCUGAGUCCCUUUAAAGAGCAGCUAUUUGGUUUCAAGAAAGAGUACAGGAGCUUCCUCCAGCUCCCAGACAUGGACUGCAGGCAGAACCCCCCCUUCCUGGUCCUGCUGGUGACUUCGUCUCACAAGCAGCAGGACGCCCGCAUGGCCAUCCGCCAGACGUGGGGGAGAGAGAGGAUGGUGAACGGAAAGCUGGUGAAAGCCCUCUUCCUCCUGGGGACCACGGCCAGCAUGGCCGACACGAGGGCGGUGGCCGAGGAGAGCCGGCGCCACCGGGACAUGAUCCAGAAGGAC